Long non-coding RNA from Mesocricetus auratus (golden hamster), 280 nucleotides. RefSeq lists it as uncharacterized. The transcript is spliced from 2 exons. NCBI's taxonomy places the organism in Eukaryota, Metazoa, Chordata, Mammalia, Rodentia, Cricetidae. The record is from RefSeq and is a predicted model, not a curated record.
CAACAAAGGGUACUUCAGUGGGGCACACACUGCAGCCCAGUAUUGAUUAGCAGAAGGCAAUGAGGUACUGAUGGGCAUUGCAGUGUGAAUGAGUACCCGGAAAGACACGAUGGGAGAAGUCCGCAGAAUACCACAGGCUGUGUGGCUCCAUGAAAUAUCACCAGUCUUACAGCCCUGGUCACUCACUGUUCCCUGUGCAAAGUGGCCAAGAAGCAGAUGUUCCUUUGGUCCCCCCCCCAAGAUCCUAUCUGAGCCCAAAUCUCUGUGAGCUGACACAGCA